UACGUAGGGACCAAGCGUUGUUCGGAUUUACUGGGCGUAAAGGGCGCGUAGGCGGCGUGGUAAGUCACUUGUGAAAUCUCUGAGCUUAACUCAGAACGGCCAAGUGAUACUGCUGUGCUAGAGUGCAGAAGGGGCAAUCGGAAUUCUUGGUGUAGCGGUGAAAUGCGUAGAUAUCGGGAGGAACACCUGAGGCGAAGGCGGGCUACUGGGCCGAUACUGACGCUGAUGCGCGAAAGCCAGGGGAGCGAACGGG
Molecule: ribosomal RNA, 253 nt
Filed under: uncultured prokaryote
Description: partial 16S ribosomal RNA
Rfam family: Bacterial small subunit ribosomal RNA
Source: RNAcentral